UACAGGGGGUGCAAACGUUGCUCGGAAUCAUUGGGCGUAAAGCGCACGUAGGCGGUUCGUUAUGUCGGAUGUGAAAGCCCUUGGCUUAACCGAGGAAGUGCAUCCGAAAACUGGCGAGCUAGAGUACGAAAGAGGAUCGCGGAAUUCCCGGUGUAGAGGUGAAAUUCGUAGAUAUCGGGAGGAACACCGGUGGCGAAGGCGGCGAUCUGGGUCGAUACUGACGCUGAGGUGCGAAAGCGUGGGGAGCAACAGG
Molecule: ribosomal RNA, 253 nt
Filed under: uncultured bacterium
Lineage: Bacteria
Description: partial 16S ribosomal RNA
Rfam family: Bacterial small subunit ribosomal RNA
Source: RNAcentral